RNAcentral lists this ribosomal RNA (440 nucleotides) under uncultured bacterium. Its description in RNAcentral is "partial 16S ribosomal RNA". It matches the Rfam family "Bacterial small subunit ribosomal RNA", at positions 338 to 795 of the family's 1533-position model. The record is from RNAcentral.
CCUACGGGAGGCAGCAGUGGGGAAUAUUGCACAAUGGGGGAAACCCUGAUGCAGCGACGCCGCGUGAGUGAAGAAGUACUUCGGUAUGUAAAGCUCUAUCAGCAGGGAAGAAAAUGACGGUACCUGAGUAAGAAGCCCCGGCUAACUACGUGCCAGCAGCCGCGGUAAUACGUAGGGGGCAAGCGUUAUCCGGAUUUACUGGGUGUAAAGGGAGCGUAGACGGCAGUGCAAGUCUGGAGUGAAAGUCGGGGGCUCAACCCCCGGACUGCUCUGGAAACUGUACGGCUGGAGUGCAGGAGAGGUAAGUGGAAUUCCUAGUGUAGCGGUGAAAUGCGUAGAUAUUAGGAGGAACACCAGUGGCGAAGGCGGCUUACUGGACUGUAACUGACGUUGAGGCUCGAAAGCGUGGGGAGCAAACAGGAUUAGAUACCCGUGUAGUC